AACCUAGAGAACUUAGAUCAGACUAAAGGAGAUCCUCUUCUCUUUCACAAAAAAGGGCAGUCACCUCUCACCAUAGCUCACCCCAAAAUCUCCUCCCCCAGAUGAAAAAAUGCUGGCAGCUCUUAGAAAGAGAGGACUGCUCUCUCACUCUCUGAUGUUGAAGACCAAAAAUCGGUCCUCCAUUCCCUUAUCAUCGUCAAAUGGCUUCCCCUUUCUUCUCACUCAAUAAAACCUAGCCAUCUCAUUCGCCCAUCACUUUCACACACACACACACACACUAGAAGAUAGGUGAAAGCAGCUUUUCAAACUAAGAUCUGGAAUUUCAAGAGCUUCAAAAACAAAAAAAAAGUAAAAAGAAGGAAGAAAGAACCAUGAAAGAUUCUUAAAUCUGGUCCGAUUUCUAUUGUGUUUAGUUUGAUAAUUUCUGGAUUUUCGAGUCGAUUUUUGGCUGGGAUUGGUGCUGUUUUCUGCCGAUUCUAUUGAUGACUUCGUUGAGCUCUAGGAUCUGAAGCACGUACAUUUGGCUACCCGUCUGGUGCGCAUCCUUGAUAGUAGGCCGAGAUUCCACGGUGAACUGCUACCUUCCUACCCCGUUCAGCAGCAUGAUGGAGUCUCUCUUUGUUUUUGACUGUCUAUUCUAUUUGAGACAGUAGGAUAGAUUUAUUAUUUUGUAUAUUCUACUAGAUGCCUAUAUACUUGUGACACCAGGUCUUGACACACACAUUGGUAGACUAUUCUUUUGGGUUGUAUAACCACUAUUUUACGUUACUAAUUA
Molecule: long non-coding RNA, 775 nt
Organism: Nicotiana tabacum (common tobacco)
Lineage: Eukaryota; Viridiplantae; Streptophyta; Magnoliopsida; Solanales; Solanaceae
Source: RefSeq, a predicted model, not a curated record